RNAcentral lists this unclassified non-coding RNA (1166 nucleotides) under Megachile rotundata (alfalfa leafcutting bee). Its description in RNAcentral is "uncharacterized LOC100882772, transcript variant X3". Lineage: Eukaryota; Metazoa; Arthropoda; Insecta; Hymenoptera; Megachilidae. The record is from RNAcentral.
UCAAACAGGCGGAAGAGUACUAUAUUUACGAAGGCAUGAGAAAACAGCUUCGAUGACGUCACUGUUUAAAGGUCUGCCGUGUUCUUCUGGCGCUAUUCGGUGCCGUUUUAUUUCUGCUUGGUAGACCAACACCGACCAGGACCAACGUAGACGCAUCAGACACGCGAAACCGUCGAGAAAUAGAACGAAAUUACCUUUUGCGUUUUGAGGAAAACUCAAAACUCGGAUACCUCGUUGUUUAACGUCACCCAGAGAUUUUGACACCGUCUCACCAAGGACCUAAAUUUUGCGGAAUUUAGCAUCGCGUUCUUUUUUCUAUUAUCACCGAUCUCGUCGUCGAAUGAGAGAAAUCUUCGACUCGAGAAGAAGAUUAAUAAACACCGAAUUAGCAGCUUCCAGUUUUCGAAAGAUGAUCAAACAGCCGACAGAAUGGUAAAGACUCAGAAAAUCGAGGCGCAGAUCGUGGAUGCUAUACGGAGUCUACAGGCUGUUCAAGGAUCGACUCAACGAGAAAUCAGCAACUAUAUCGCUCAGGAAUAUAAUCUUCCGUUACCCAGUGUUAACAGACAAGUCCAACUCGCUUUGAAACGCGGUGUUAAUUAUGGAAUUCUUCAAAGACUGAAAGGCGGAUGUUUCACAUACAACCAACAACUAUUCAACGGACUUCCGUUCGACAUGAACCCGGAGCUGCCCUGCAAAGGGCGCAGGAAAGGGCGCAAAUCCCGAAGGCGUAAAUCACGGAAGCGACGAAAAUCGAAGAGGAGAAAUUACAGCAUUCGCGAUAUAAAACGAAGAAGCAAAAAAGCCGAUGAUAUUGUGAAAGAGAUCGAUACGUCGGAGUUGAAAACGCUGACCAAACAAACCAACAACAGAAGUAGCAGUCUUUUAAGAAAAGACACCCCUGAGAGCGAGGGUUCAUCCACCACCGGCAAGUCUGAGGAAGCGCACGAAUGAUCUACACUGUAUGCUGAUUCUGUAGACAAAGAUUGAACCGCGGAAAAGGAAACGGAUGCAACUGGUCAAGAAGAUCACAAAAAUUUUAGUGGAAUGUUUCUAUGUCUUUACUAAAUUUGUUUUGACUAUUAUACAUGUGUAUUGUAAAUGUUUUGGAGAAAUGUAGCAUUUUGUGAAUACAUCUUUUAAUACCAAAUUUAUGUACAUUCUUU